Fundulus heteroclitus (mummichog) is the source of this 120-nucleotide long non-coding RNA. RefSeq lists it as uncharacterized. Lineage: Eukaryota; Metazoa; Chordata; Actinopteri; Cyprinodontiformes; Fundulidae. The record is from RefSeq and is a predicted model, not a curated record. The transcript has 3 exons.
ACACGGGUAUGUAUGUUACAGGUGACACGGGUAUGUAUGUUACAGGUGACACGGGUAUGUAUGUUACAGGUGACACGGGUAUGUAUGUUACAGGUGACACGGGUAUGUAUGUUACAGGUG